UGGGGAAUAUUGGACAAUGGGGGCAACCCUGAUCCAGCGAUGCCGCGUGUGCGAAGAAGGCCUGCGGGUUGUAAAGCACUUUGAUUGGGGAAGAAAGUCUUGUGUUUAAGAGAUGCAAGAGAUGACGUUACCCAAAGAACAAGCACCGGCUAACUCUGUGCCAGCAGCCGCGGUAAUACAGAGGGUGCGAGCGUUAAUCGGAAUUACUGGGCGUAAAGGGCGCGUAGGCGGUUUAUUAAGUCAUCUGUGAAAUCUCUGGGCUUAACCCAGAACGGCCAAGUGAUACUGUCGCGCUAGAGUGCAGAAGGGGCAAUCGGAAUUCUUGGUGUAGCGGUGAAAUGCGUAGAUAUCAAGAGGAACACCUGAGGUGAAGACGGGUUGCUGGGCUGACACUGACGCUGAGGCGCGAAAGCCAGGGGAGCAAACGGGAUUAGAUACCCGUGUAGUCCCUGAGCGGGCUGGCAAGGCGCAU
Molecule: ribosomal RNA, 472 nt
Filed under: uncultured bacterium
Lineage: Bacteria
Description: bacterial SSU rRNA
Rfam family: Bacterial small subunit ribosomal RNA
Source: RNAcentral